GAUGAACGCUGGCGGCGUGCCUAAUACAUGCCAGUCGAGCGAACAGAUGAGGAGCUUGCUCCUCUGACGUUAGCGGCGGACGGGUGAGUAACACGUGGAUAACCUACCUAUAAGACUGGGAUAACUUCGGGAAACCGGAGCUAAUACCGGAUAAUAUAUUGAACCGCAUGGUUCAGUAGUGAAAGACGGUUUUGCUGUCACUUAUAGAUGGAUCCGCGCCGCAUUAGCUAGUUGGUAAGGUAACGGCUUACCAAGGCAACGAUGCGUAGCCGACCUGAGAGGGUGAUCGGCCACACUGGAACUGAGACACGGUCCAGACUCCUACGGGAGGCAGCAGUAGGGAAUCUUCCGCAAUGGGCGAAAGCCUGACGGAGCAACGCCGCGUGAGUGAUGAAGGUCUUCGGAUCGUAAAACUCUGUUAUUAGGGAAGAACAAAUGUGUAAGUAACUAUGCACGUCUUGACGGUACCUAAUCAGAAAGCCACGGCUAACUACGUG
RNAcentral lists this ribosomal RNA (497 nucleotides) under uncultured bacterium. RNAcentral describes it as "partial 16S ribosomal RNA". It matches the Rfam family "Bacterial small subunit ribosomal RNA", at positions 28 to 507 of the family's 1533-position model. The record is from RNAcentral.